Molecule: long non-coding RNA, 282 nt
Filed under: Numida meleagris (helmeted guineafowl)
Lineage: Eukaryota; Metazoa; Chordata; Aves; Galliformes; Numididae
Description: lncRNA (ENSNMEG00000002935.1)
Source: RNAcentral
ACCCACUGUGCCUCUGCUGACAGCCCCUUGCGCCCCAUCACCUGCAGCCAUGGGGCAGAGACAGCGUGUGGGGCAGACCCACAUCAUCUCCCUGCCCCACAUCCUGCCCCACGGAAUCCCCCUGCCCCACAUCCUGAGCCUUGGAAUCCCCCACAUCCACCCCCUGCGCCUCUGCCAAGGGCCCCUUGCGCCCCAUCACCUGCAAGGGGGGCAGACCCACAUCAUCCCCCUGCCCCACAUCCUGCCCCACGGAAUCCCCCUGCCCCACAUCCUGAGCCACGG